Molecule: ribosomal RNA, 478 nt
Filed under: uncultured bacterium
Lineage: Bacteria
Description: partial 16S ribosomal RNA
Rfam family: Bacterial small subunit ribosomal RNA
Source: RNAcentral
GACGAACGCUGGCGGCGUGCUUAACACAUGCAAGUCGAACGGUAAGGCCCUUCGGGGUACACGAGUGGCGAACGGGUGAGUAACACGUGGGUGAUCUGCCCUGCACUUCGGGAUAAGCCUGGGAAACUGGGUCUAAUACCGGAUAGGACUCCUGGCUUCAUGGUUGGGGGUGGAAAGCUUUUGCGGUGUGGGAUGGGCCCGCGGCCUAUCAGCUUGUGGGUGGGGUAAUGGCCUACCAAGGCGACGACGGGUAGGCGGCCUGAGAGGGUGACCGGUCACACUGGGACUGAGAUACGGCCCAGACCCCUACGGGAGGCAGCAGUGGGGAAUAUUGCACAAUGGGCGCAAGCCUGAUGCAGCGACGCCGCGUGAGGGAUGACGGCCUUCGGGUUGUAAACCUCUUUCAGCCAUGACGAAGCGCAAGUGACGGUAGUAGCAGAAGAAGGACCGGCCAACUACGUGCCAGCCGCCGCCGUAA